RNAcentral lists this ribosomal RNA (855 nucleotides) under Halorubrum sp. LV_22B68. RNAcentral describes it as "bacterial SSU rRNA". It matches the Rfam family "Archaeal small subunit ribosomal RNA", at positions 481 to 1336 of the family's 1478-position model. Lineage: Archaea; Methanobacteriati; Methanobacteriota; Halobacteria; Halobacteriales; Haloferacaceae. The record is from RNAcentral.
GCCCGAAGUGAUGGCCGAUCUAUUGGGCUAAAGCGUCCGUAGCUGCCGCACAAGUCCAUCGGGGAAAUCCACCUGCUCAACAGGUGGGCGUCCGGUGGAAACUGUGUGGCUUGGGACCGGAAGGCGCGACGGGUACGUCCGGGGUAGGAGUGAAAUCCUGUAAUCCUGGACGGACCGCCGAUGGCGAAAGCACGUCGCGAAGACGGAUCCGACAGUGAGGGACGAAAGCUAGGGUCUCGAACCGGAUUAGAUACCCGGGUAGUCCUAGCCGUAAACACUGCCUGCUAGGUGUGGCACCCACUACGAGUGGGUGCUGUGCCGUAGGGAAGCCGCUAAGCAGGCCGCCUGGGAAGUACGUCCGCAAGGAUGAAACUUAAAGGAAUUGGCGGGGGAGCACUACAACCGGAGGAGCCUGCGGUUUAAUUGGACUCAACGCCGGACAUCUCACCAGCAUCGACUGUAAUAAUGACGAUCAGGUUGAUGACCUUAUCCGAGUUUCAGAGAGGAGGUGCAUGGCCGCCGUCAGCUCGUACCGUGAGGCGUCCUGUUAAGUCAGGCAACGAGCGAGACCCGCAUCGAUACUUGCCAGCAACGCUGUGAAGCGGUUGGGGACAGUAUCGAGACUGCCGUGGCCAACACGGAGGAAGGAACGGGCAACGGUAGGUCAGUAUGCCCCGAAUGUGCUGGGCAACACGCGGGCUACAAUGGUCGGGACAAAGGGUUCCAACUCCGAAAGGAGACGGUAAUCUCAGAAACUCGAUCGUAGUUCGGAUUGUGGGCUGCAACUCGCCCACAUGAAGCUGGAUUCGGUAGUAAUCGCGUGUCAAAAGCGCGCGGUGAAUACGUCCCUGCUCC